Molecule: long non-coding RNA, 293 nt
Filed under: Rattus norvegicus (Norway rat)
Lineage: Eukaryota; Metazoa; Chordata; Mammalia; Rodentia; Muridae
Description: long non-coding RNA NONRATT032823
Source: RNAcentral
GGAGGGGGGAGGGAUUAGAGCUGCCGAGCUCACCAAGGAACCAGGGCUAGAGAGCCCUUGGAAGGAAAGAGGUCAGUAGCAAGUUCCUACCCAGAAUGCCUAGGGCUGCAAAGAAUCUGUGCACCACGUGAGCGAGACACUUGACUGUAAUGGAGACGUGGGUUGCGGCAGAAAGACGGGGUUUCCUGGAAGGGGCAGAUAGGAUAAAGGUCCUACUGGCCCACAGGUCUCAGAGCAAGCAACCCGGAAGAAGCUACCGGAGCUCACACACCUGGUCUCUGGACCUGGCUGAC